UGCCAGCAGCCGCGGUAAUACGGAGGGUGCGAGCGUUGUCCGGAUUUAUUGGGUUUAAAGGGUGCGUAGGCGGUUUAAUAAGUCAGUGGUGAAAUCAUGCAGCUCAACUGUAUAAGUGCCAUUGAUACUGUUAGACUUGAGUAUACUAUAGGCAGGCGGAAUUUAUGAUGUAGCGGUGAAAUGCAUAGAUAUCAUAAAGAACCCCGAUAGCGAAGGCAGCUUGCCGGAGUAUAACUGACGCUGAUGCACGAAAGCGUGGGUAGCGAACAGGAUUAGAUA
RNAcentral lists this ribosomal RNA (279 nucleotides) under uncultured bacterium. RNAcentral's name for it is "partial 16S ribosomal RNA". It matches the Rfam family "Bacterial small subunit ribosomal RNA", at positions 506 to 784 of the family's 1533-position model. The record is from RNAcentral.